This 340-nucleotide unclassified non-coding RNA is filed under the name uncultured Inocybe. RNAcentral describes it as "sequence contains ITS1". The stretch from base 1 to 105 matches the Rfam family "5.8S ribosomal RNA", at positions 50 to 154 of the family's 154-position model. Lineage: Eukaryota; Fungi; Basidiomycota; Agaricomycetes; Agaricales; Cortinariaceae. The record is from RNAcentral.
GAAAUGCGAUAAGUAAUGUGAAUUGCAGAAUUCAGUGAAUCAUCGAAUCUUUGAACGCAUCUUGCGCUCCUUGGUAUUCUGAGGAGCAUGCCUGUUUGAGUGUCAUUAAAUUCUCAACUACACUGACUUUGAUUAGUGUGGCUUGGAUUUGGGGGGGAAAUUUGUUGUGGGCUUUUUGUAGUCUGCUCCCCUGAAAUUAAUUAGCGGUACCUUGGUUGGAACUGUCUACAGGUGUGAUAAUUAUCUACAUCCUAGACAUCUGCUGGAAUGCUGCUUUCUAGACCUUACUUGUAUUGACAAUCUUGACCUCAAAUCAGGUAGGACUACCCGCUGAACUUAA